UACAGAGGUGGCAAGCGCUGUUCGGAUUUAUUGGGCGUAAAGGGUCCGUAGGCGGCCUAGAAAGUCGGAUGUGAAAUCCCACAGCUCAACUGUGGAACUGCAUUCGAAACUUCUAGGCUCGAGUGUGAUAGGGGUAAAGGGAAUUCCCGGUGUAAGGGUGAAAUCUGCAGAGAUCGGGAGGAACACCAGUCGCGAAGGCGCUUUACUGGAUCACUACUGACGCUGAGGGACGAAAGCCAGGGGAGCAAACGGG
Molecule: ribosomal RNA, 253 nt
Filed under: uncultured bacterium
Lineage: Bacteria
Description: partial 16S ribosomal RNA
Rfam family: Bacterial small subunit ribosomal RNA
Source: RNAcentral